This is a long non-coding RNA of Aethalodelphis obliquidens (Pacific white-sided dolphin), 1190 nucleotides long. RefSeq lists it as uncharacterized. Lineage: Eukaryota; Metazoa; Chordata; Mammalia; Artiodactyla; Delphinidae. The transcript has 3 exons. The record is from RefSeq and is a predicted model, not a curated record.
AGACUGUGGACUUUUUGCUUUGCCUUCACAUGGUGGAAGGGGCAAGUGUUGUCUCUGGGGUCUCCUGACCUAAUCACCUCCCAUUCAUCUUGCGGGAUAGGAUUUCAAUGUAUGAAUCUUGGGUGGGGACACAGACGUUCAAACCACAGCUGUGAGGAGGGGCAGAAAAGCUGCAUGAGGUGAUGUGAAAGUUGAAAAGAGAAAAGUGUGAUGCUAUCCAGGAACCAUCUAAGGGAAAAACUCUUGCAAGGCAGAUUGAGAAUUUUAAAACAACACUCUCCCACCCAACUGCCCCAUGACAUCUGUUAACACAAGAGGCAGAGCUAUUUCCUGGAAAGCCUCCUUGUGUUUACAAGGGUGAGACCCUCUUGAUGUUUUUGCAACUUUAAUUAAAGAGCUGAGGGAUGGAUUUAUAUCCACAGCAGUUCCCAUGGGGGAACACACGGGCUGGUUGUACACAAUGCUGCACAGUCAAAUGAAAAGAGAAAAAGUCAAUCAAUUAUCCAGAUGUUUUGGAAUUUUACAUAAAUGUAGUCACAAUGGGGAUUUGAUCCUUGAUAAUAACGUAUUAUUCUUCCAUAAUGGUGGAGAAAAAUGUUCUUGGAAGGAAGACGAGAGUGUUUUCCUAAUACUCUUUUAUUCUUUCUUCUCCUUUCUGAGUUUAUACUUAACAGCAUCAAGCACAACAGAACAUGGAGACUGAGGACAGAAAACAGAAAAAAGCACAGGACAUGGCCCCCUCUCCAAAUUGCGGUUGAUGGGGGACUCAGCUCAACCUGGGCACUCAGGACCUAGGCUGACAAGGGCUCUGCCCUCGUAUGAUUUCACCAUCUCGACAGAAAGCUUUGGAGUUUUCACUGCAGCACGGGAGAAGAGUACGGAUAAUUGCAUACUGGUGCUUAAAUGCUUCCACCAGAACAAGACCCCUGUCACUUCCCUUCACUUCUCACUGACUAAAACAGCCAUGAAUAUUAUGCCUGUGUGAUUUCUCAGUGGAGAAGGAGUCUUGUCUAAUAGGAGGCACAGGGGGAAGGCUUCCUGGAACAUGUGGAGAAAAAUAAGGAAAAUGACCCAAGUGAAACGUAAAUCCAGAAACAGAAAAUCAACACCAAACGGAUAGUUUUCCCAGCUGGACUCCUUGCUUGUACUGAAUCCAGAGGCUGCUGGAAUAAGACUGAUUUAGAGGGAAU